Molecule: ribosomal RNA, 455 nt
Filed under: uncultured bacterium
Lineage: Bacteria
Description: bacterial SSU rRNA
Rfam family: Bacterial small subunit ribosomal RNA
Source: RNAcentral
AGAGUUUGAUCAUGGCUCAGAACGAACGCUGGCGGCAGGCUUAACACAUGCAAGUCGAACGGGCGUAGCAAUACGUCAGUGGCAGACGGGUGAGUAACACGUGGGAACCUUCCUAGGGGUACGGAACAACUCAGGGAAACUUGAGCUAAUACCGUAUACGUCCGUGAGGAGAAAGAUUUAUCGCCCUUAGACGGGCCCGCGUCGGAUUAGCUAGUUGGUGGGGUAACGGCCUACCAAGGCGACGAUCCGUAGCUGAUCUGAGAGGAUGACCAGCCACACUGGGACUGAGACACGGCCCAGACUCCUACGGGAGGCGGCAGUGGGGAAUCUUGGACAAUGGGCGCAAGCCUGAUCCAGCCAUGCCGCGUGAGCGAAGAAGGCCUUCGGGUUGUAAAGCUCUUUUGUCAGGGACGAUAAUGACGGUACCUGAAGAAUAAGCCCCGGCAAACUUCGUG